UACAGGGGGGGCAAGCGUUGUUCGGAAUUACUGGGCGUAAAGAGCUCGUAGGUGGUUUGUCGCGUUGUUCGUGAAAACUCACAGCUUAACUGUGGGCGUGCGGGCGAUACGGGCAGACUUGAGUACUGCAGGGGAGACUGGAAUUCCUGGUGUAGCGGUGGAAUGCGCAGAUAUCAGGAGGAACACCGGUGGCGAAGGCGGGUCUCUGGGCAGUAACUGACGCUGAGGAGCGAAAGCGUGGGGAGCGAACAGG
Molecule: ribosomal RNA, 253 nt
Filed under: uncultured bacterium
Lineage: Bacteria
Description: partial 16S ribosomal RNA
Rfam family: Bacterial small subunit ribosomal RNA
Source: RNAcentral